Transfer RNA from Rhodanobacter sp. OK091, 72 nucleotides. It matches the Rfam family "tRNA". From Rfam's summary of the family: Transfer RNA (tRNA) molecules are approximately 80 nucleotides in length. Their secondary structure includes four short double-helical elements and three loops (D, anti-codon, and T loops). The record is from Rfam. Lineage: Bacteria; Pseudomonadati; Pseudomonadota; Gammaproteobacteria; Lysobacterales; Rhodanobacteraceae.
GGGCGGUUAGCUCAGCGGUAGAGCACUACCUUGACAUGGUAGGGGUCACAAGUUCGAUCCUUGUACCGCCCA